RNAcentral lists this ribosomal RNA (497 nucleotides) under uncultured bacterium. Its description in RNAcentral is "partial 16S ribosomal RNA". It matches the Rfam family "Bacterial small subunit ribosomal RNA", at positions 28 to 507 of the family's 1533-position model. The record is from RNAcentral.
GACGAACGCUGGCGGCGUGCCUAAUACAUGCAAGUUGAGCGCUGAAGGUUGGUACUUGUACCAACUGGAUGAGCAGCGAACGGGUGAGUAACGCGUGGGGAAUCUGCCUUUGAGCGGGGGACAACAUUUGGAAACGAAUGCUAAUACCGCAUAAAAACUUUAAACACAAGUUUUAAGUUUGAAAGAUGCAAUUGCAUCACUCAAAGAUGAUCCCGCGUUGUAUUAGCUAGGUGGUGAGGUAAAGGCUCACCAAGGCGAUGAUACAUAGCCGACCUGAGAGGGUGAUCGGCCACACUGGGACUGAGACACGGCCCAAAGGCCUACGGGAGGCAGCAGGAGGGAAUCUUCGGCCAGGGACGAAAGUCUGACCGAGCAACGCCGAGUGAGUGAAGAAGGUUUUCGGAUCGUAAAACUCUGUUGGUAGAGAAGAAAGUUGGUGAGAGUGGAAAGCUCAUCAAGUGACGGUAACUACCCAGAAAGGGACGGCUAACUACGUG